This 3876-nucleotide long non-coding RNA is filed under the name Xyrichtys novacula (pearly razorfish). Lineage: Eukaryota; Metazoa; Chordata; Actinopteri; Labriformes; Labridae. The record is from RNAcentral.
UUGUAGGUGUGCAUCUUGUUUCUGAACUCUCCAAAGAAUCUCGUCAAAAUGUACACACCCCGGCAAUAGCCUCUGUGGCCCUUUUGAAAUUUUCCAAAGGAAAUCUGCCAUUUAAAUUUUAUAUCACAAACAACCUAAUCCACAGAAAAAUGUCAUGACAGAUAUUUUCAUUGAAUAAAAACUUUACUCCAGUAGUCAGGUUUCAUAUACACUAAAUAAUGAUUUUAUACAAAUCAGUGUGUCUCAUUUAUUCUUGUUACUCACCAUAAACUAACAGUACAAGCAUUCUGGCUGUUUUCAGUGAAUUUCCCAGCAUUUGCUUGGCCUAUCUGAUUAGAUAUAUUUUUAAAAAAUCUCUCUCUGAAACUUCACAUUUAUAACGUAAUCAACAAUAUUUCAGAGUACAACCAAUGUUUGUAUGAAUGAAAAUAGUAUAGUGACGCUUUAAAUGCAUCUUAAUGAUCUCCUCUGUGUUCAAUGAGAAUAUGACAAGAAGCUUAAUGUGCUUUGCAAUACGGAAAAUACAGGAUAGCAGUAUUUAUAAAAAAAAAAAGUAUAAAACACAAAACGCUAAACUGACAAUAAUAAUGAAAUUUAAACUAUGAGUGUACUACAAGCUACAAAAGCAAAUAAGAUAAUAAAUGAAAAUAUUUAAUAUUAUUGCAUAUUUUUAAGGCCUGUCAUCUCAGCAGCUUUUUUCAAAUAAAUUCAUAAGGAGAAAAAACAAGAAACAUCUGUAUUGUGAGAAUUAAGCAGCAUGAAUUUCUAAAAUAAAAGUGACUAAUACCUCAAACUUAAGUGGAAAAAACAAAUAAACGGAUCUGGAAACCAUCCGCUGCUGUGUGGUAUUAGAUUUUUACACUUUUUUGGAGUGAAUAGAGGCUAAAAAGAAUAACUCAACAUUGUCAGCAGCAGUUGCCAAACCAGGAAAUGACAAAGCUAAUAAUAGCCGAAAGCUAUUUUAAACAGUUUUAAUUAACACUGUGUUUUCAAAUGGAAACUUUAUUGAUAGUGAUAGGUCUGACACGUUGGGUAUUUCCUGAAGGACGGAUUACGGUUCGGUCAAAACAACAGGUGUGUGCAGUGUGUGUGUGAAGGGCUUCGUGCUUGACAUGGAAUACUGGUGACACCAGGAAUGCAACAGGCAUAGCUCGGGGAGUCCACACAGAGAGAGCCAUGGGAAAUACUCCCAGGAGGUCAAAGGUCAGGGUCCAUGAGGAAAGAGAAUUUAGUAUAAAACUUGCAAUGGAAGACCCUUUGACCAGAUCCACAAACUGUUAUUCCUCUGAGGACACUGCUUUUUGUCAAACUCCAGAUUUGGAGGCUGAUGUUUUAUUAAAAUUUAUAAUCCCAUCACACUGGACUGAACCCGUCCAUGCUCUGUGGUUUUCCAUCUAUUCCCAAAGCUCACUGCAAUAAACUCCUCUAAUUAAUUUUGAGUUUUGCAUCUGUUUCCAGACAAAAUACAACCCCUCUGUAUUGGCAGGAUGUGAUUUUAAUCUGAAAUAAUUACAGAUGCCCUGCUUAUAAUAAGAGGUCACUAUUUAUUUUAUAUUUAUUACCCAGAAUUUAUUCAGAGAAAAGGGGGCUGUAGCAGCAUGUGAAAAACGUAAUUUAUUUAGCUAUCAAAUAAGUUGAAUUGAUGACUGAUGAUUCAUAUACUGUGAUGAGCUGCAUGUAGCAUGUGGACAGUCUGAUUUAUUGAAAAGUAAUUCUAAGAUAACAAAUAAAACUAUGUGAGUAACACAUUUAAUCUCCUAAAAGCGACAUGCAAUUGGAUACAUACAUAAAUAUCGAAUAGAUUAUGUCCCCUGAUCUUUCAAGGGUUGAAGCAGCAAAGCCAUUUGAGAAGAAAACAGGCCAUUCAUAGAGCGCAUGAAAAAAGGCAUUGAUACAGAGGGCAAUAACAUUUGCUCAGUAGUCUACAUGGAUUACAGAUUAAAGACAAGAUGCAUUUGGUUUGAUGCGUUAGCCAACAAAUAGGCCCUGCACACACAGGAUAUGGUGGUCAGAUAAAUAAAGGAGGAUUUUUGAGACCUCGUGUCUGUCAGUUUUUAAAAGGCCUCGUUAAAAAUGACAGGCUCAGAAAAUUAAAUGUUUAAAUGUUAUGGUCUGCAUUGGCACAAAACCUCUAGACCGUGCUUGUAGCCAGUUCUUCUUCAAUCUUACUUUAUUUUUGGGGGGGUAGGGGGUGGGGGUGGGGACCUGCUGAGCGAGAGACCGGUGAGAGCAAAGCCAACUGGAGCAGAAAGAGCCACUCCUCAGACUUCAACCCAGGGAGACUUCAACCACGCACAAUCUUUGCAUGAGACUAAAUGUAUACAGUCAGCGCGAAACGGACUAAACAGCUCUGUUAUAUCUGCAAUUAGACGAGAAAUCGCCUUCAGUGUUGCAUUAUUAAGGAAUGAGGCAGGCAUACGUUCCAUGUGCUUUGUGCACACACAGCCACUGGAGACACAAGGGUUAUGUCACAUCAUGUUUUCACUUAAGAUUAAAUUUAUGUAAGGCUGCAACAAAUUGAUGCUUGAACGAUGAACAUACACGUGCAAAACCAUCCGACCUCUCAUUCUAUUUAUAGAGCCAGCAUGGGAAUGGGGGGAAAUGGACAGUGAUGUGUCAGGAUUGGACAACAACAAAAAAAACAUUUUGAUUUAAUGUGGAAAAAUGUGUAUUUACUGUCAACAAAGAUCAAUGUUACUUCAGUACAAUGGCUUUUAACCUUGCUGAUACAUUAAGAACUUGUGAUUUCAUCAUUUCAUGAUGACCAUUAACUGGUUUAUAAAAUGCUUCAGUGAUAAAUAUGUAAUUUUGUUUGUUUAAAGUAAUUGUAAACAUUAGAAUUUUAAGGCAGUACACAUUCUUGGAUUACCCAAACAGGAAGUUUCACUUAUGUUGCUUUCACAGAGUUUCACUCACAAAAACGUGUGUACAGACAAAGGCUCACACAUCCAUGCACAAAAAUAUAAACAUAAUACAAUAUUAUGUAUUACAGUAUAAUCUAAGCACCACUUAGAACCUGCAUCCUCCCAACACUUUAACCCUGCAUCUGCACGCUGGGGGAAGCACAAAAUAAUGGUACAAAAAACUCUAAGAUGCAGUGUUAUGGUCUUUAUAUGUGUAAUCCUCCACUAGCUGUCUGAACCUGCUCUUUAUAGGGAGUCUUGAAGAAGACAGUGAAACAGAUUAUGAGGAGAAUAUGAGGAUCUUUGUUUUUUUGUGCUGUCAUUUGUUCAUCAACAGUACUUGAUACAAAAGUCAAAAGAAAUGUGUCAAAACAUUGUUCAUGCAUUUUUUAAUUUCAGAUUAGUAUCGCCAAAACCUAUAUCACAGUAUUUUUGUGAUGAAAGCUAUGACUCAUCAUAAAAACAAGUGGCCCUUUCAUUGUUAUUGGAGAUGAAUUGUCAACAUUGAUCAUAAAUGUCUGUAUCAUUGAAAAUCUAAAUAAACAGUUCCCCUAAAAUAUUUGUUCAUUUUUACUAAUAUUAUUAUUGCUAUUAGUAUUACACUUAUAACCAUGAAUAAUUUUUAAUUUUCUUGUGGGAACCUUCCCACAACUCAAUGGAGUUUAUUUAAUCUAAUCUGUAAUCUAUUAUUGUCAAUUGUAUUAUUACUAUUAUUAUUGAUGUUAUUAUUAUAAUUAUUAUUAUUGUUGUUGUUGUUGUUGUUGUUGUUGUUGAUGUUAGUAUUAUUAGCAUCAUUAUUAUUGUUAUUAUUAUUAUUAUUAUUGUUAUUAUUGUUAUUGUUAUUAUUAUUAUUAUUGUUGUUGUUGUUGUUGAUGUUAGUAUUAUUAGCAUCAUUAUUAUUGUUAUUAUUAUUAUUGUUAUAAUAAUAAUAAUUAUUAUUAUUAUUAUUGUUAUUGUUGUUGAUGAUGUUGUU